UCGAGAAUUUUUCUCAAUGGGCGCAAGCCUGAAGGAGCGACGCCGCGUGGGGGAUGAAGGGUUUCGAUCCGUAAACCCCUGUCAUUUGUGAACAAUGGUUGCGAUUGAACAUUUCGUAACUUGAUAGUAAUGAAAGAGGAAGGGACGGCUAACUCUGUGCCAGCAGCCGCGGUAAUACAGAGGUCCCGAGCGUUGUUCGGAUUCACUGGGCGUAAAGGGUGCGUAGGUGGCAUGGAAAGUUUGAUGUGAAAGCUCAGGGCUUAACCCUGAAAUGGCAUUGAAUACUGCCGUGCUGGAGGUUUGGAGGGGGGACUGGAAUUCUUGGUGUAGCAGUGAAAUGCGUAGAUAUCAAGAGGAACACCAGUGGCGAAGGCGAGUCCCUGGACAACACCUGACACUGAGGCACGAAAGCUAGGGGAGCAAAC
This 425-nucleotide ribosomal RNA is filed under the name uncultured bacterium. RNAcentral's name for it is "bacterial SSU rRNA". It matches the Rfam family "Bacterial small subunit ribosomal RNA", at positions 355 to 773 of the family's 1533-position model. The record is from RNAcentral.